Molecule: ribosomal RNA, 299 nt
Filed under: uncultured Veillonellaceae bacterium
Lineage: Bacteria; Bacillati; Bacillota; Negativicutes; Veillonellales; Veillonellaceae
Description: partial 16S ribosomal RNA
Source: RNAcentral
GGAGUCUGGACCGUGUCUCAGUUCCAAUGUGACCGUUCAUCCUCUCAGACCGGUUACCGAUCGUCGGCUUUGUAAGCUCUUACCUUACCAACUACCUAAUCGGACGCAGGCUCCUCGCAAAGCGAUAAAUCUUUAGUAAGUUACUCAUGCGAAUUACUUACAACAUUCGGUAUUAGCAGUCCUUUCGAACUGUUGUCCCCAUCUUUGCGGCAGAUUACCUACGCGUUACUCACCCGUUUGCCACUAAACUAAAAGUUCCGUUCGACUUGCAUGUGUUAAGCACGCCGCCAGCGUUCGUC